RNAcentral lists this ribosomal RNA (252 nucleotides) under uncultured bacterium. RNAcentral describes it as "partial 16S ribosomal RNA". It matches the Rfam family "Bacterial small subunit ribosomal RNA", at positions 524 to 773 of the family's 1533-position model. The record is from RNAcentral.
UACGUAGGGUGCAAGCGUUAAUCGGAAUUACUGGGCGUAAAGCGUGCGCAGGCGGUUUUGUAAGUCUGUCGUGAAAUCCCCGGGCUCAACCUGGGAAUUGCGAUGGAGACUGCAAGGCUAGAAUCUGGCAGAGGGGGGGUAGAAUUCCACGUGUAGCAGUGAAAUGCGUAGAGAUGUGGAGGAACACCGAUGGCGAAGGCAGCCCCCCUGGGUCAAGAUUGACGCUCAUGCACGAAAGCGUGGGGAGCAAAC